Molecule: ribosomal RNA, 737 nt
Filed under: uncultured bacterium
Lineage: Bacteria
Description: bacterial SSU rRNA
Rfam family: Bacterial small subunit ribosomal RNA
Source: RNAcentral
GAGUUUGAACCUGGCUCAGGACGAACGCUGGCGGCACGCCUAACACAUGCAAGUCGAACGGACGAGAGGAAGCUUGCUUCCUUGAGUUAGUGGCGGACGGGUGAGUAACACGUGAGCAACCUGCCUCUGAGAGAGGGAUAGCUUCUGGAAACGGACGGUAAUACCUCAUAACAUAUUUAAAUCGCAUGAUUUGGAUAUCAAAGAAAUUCGCUCAGAGAUGGGCUCGCGUCUGAUUAGAUAGUUGGUGAGGUAACGGCUCACCAAGUCGACGAUCAGUAGCCGGACUGAGAGGUUGAACGGCCACAUUGGGACUGAGACACGGCCCAGACUCCCACGGGAGGCAGCAGUGGGGAAUAUUGCACAAUGGGGGAAACCCUGAUGCAGCGAUGCCGCGUGGAGGAAGAAGGUUUUCGGAUUGUAAACUCCUUUUAUCAGGGACGAUAAUGACGGUACCUGAAGAAAAAGCUCCGGCUAACUACGUGCCAGCAGCCGCGGUAAUACGUAGGGAGCGAGCGUUGUCCGGAAUUACUGGGUGUAAAGGGAGCGUAGGCGGGACGGCAAGUCAGAUGUGAAAACUGAGGGCUCAACCUUCAGACUGCAUUUGAAACUGCUGUUCUUGAGUGAAGUAGAGGUAAGCGGAAUUCCUAGUGUAGCGGUGAAAUGCGUAGAUAUUAGGAGGAACAUCGGUGGCGAAGGCGGCUUACUGGGCUUUUACUGACGCUGAGGCUCGAAAGCGU